GAUGAACGCUGGCGGCGUGCCUAAUACAUGCAAGUCGAGCGAACAGACGAGGAGCUUGCUCCUCUGACGUUAGCGGCGGACGGGUGAGUAACACGUGGAUAACCUACCUAUAAGACUGGGAUAACUUCGGGAAACCGGAGCUAAUACCGGAUAAUAUAUUGAACCGCAUGGUUCAAUAGUGAAAGACGGUUUUGCUGUCACUUAUAGAUGGAUCCGCGCCGCAUUAGCUAGUUGGUAAGGUAACGGCUUACCAAGGCAACGAUGCGUAGCCGACCUGAGAGGGUGAUCGGCCACACUGGAACUGAGACACGGUCCAGACGCUUACGGGAGGCAGCAGUAGGGAAUCUUCCGCAAUGGGCGAAAGCAUGACGGAGCAACGCCGCGUGAGUGAUGAAGGUCUUCGGAUCGUAAAACUCUGUUAUUAGGGAAGAACAAAUGUGUAAGUAACUAUGCACGUCUUGACGGUACCUAAUCAGAAAGCCACGGCUAACUACGUG
This 497-nucleotide ribosomal RNA is filed under the name uncultured bacterium. RNAcentral describes it as "partial 16S ribosomal RNA". It matches the Rfam family "Bacterial small subunit ribosomal RNA", at positions 28 to 507 of the family's 1533-position model. The record is from RNAcentral.